This 459-nucleotide ribosomal RNA is filed under the name uncultured bacterium. RNAcentral describes it as "partial 16S ribosomal RNA". It matches the Rfam family "Bacterial small subunit ribosomal RNA", at positions 339 to 795 of the family's 1533-position model. The record is from RNAcentral.
CUACGGGACGCACCAGUGAGGAAUAUUGGUCAAUGGGCGCGAGCCUGAACCAGCCAUCCCGCGUGCAGGAUGACGGCCCUAUGGGUUGUAAACUGCUUUUCUAUGCCAAGAAACCUGAUUACGUGUAAUCAGUUGCCGGUAGCAUAGGAAUAAGCAUCGGCUAACUCCGUGCCAGCAGCCGCGGUAAUACGGAGGAUGCAAGCGUUAUCCGGAUUCAUUGGGUUUAAAGGGUGCGCAGGUGGGCUUGUAAGUCAGUGGUGAAAUGCUGCCGCUUAACGGUAGAACUGCCAUUGAUACUGCGAGUCUUGAGUAUGGUUGAGGUAGGCGGAAUGUGUUGUGUAGCGGUGAAAUGCAUAGAUAUGACACAGGACGCCAAUUGCGAAGGCAGCUUACUAAGCCAUUACUGACGCUGAGGCACGAAAGCGUGGGGAGCGAACAGGAUUAGAUACCCUGGUAGUC